GUGGCCGUAGCUCAGCUGGUGGUAGCGCCAGGUUGUGAUCCUGGAGGUCGGGGGUUCAAGUCCCCUCGGUCACC
RNAcentral lists this transfer RNA (74 nucleotides) under Ilumatobacter fluminis. It matches the Rfam family "tRNA". Rfam says of the family: Transfer RNA (tRNA) molecules are approximately 80 nucleotides in length. Their secondary structure includes four short double-helical elements and three loops (D, anti-codon, and T loops). Further hydrogen bonds mediate the characteristic L-shaped molecular structure. tRNAs have two regions of fundamental functional importance: the anti-codon, which is responsible for specific mRNA codon recognition, and the 3' end, to which the tRNAs corresponding amino acid is attached (by aminoacyl-tRNA synthetases). tRNAs cope with the degeneracy of the genetic code in two manners: having more than one tRNA (with a specific anti-codon) for a particular amino acid; and 'wobble' base-pairing, i.e. permitting non-standard base-pairing at the 3rd anti-codon position. The record is from Rfam by way of RNAcentral. Lineage: Bacteria; Bacillati; Actinomycetota; Acidimicrobiia; Acidimicrobiales; Ilumatobacteraceae. RNAcentral also lists the same sequence under 1 other name.